Long non-coding RNA from Bubalus bubalis (water buffalo), 320 nucleotides. RefSeq lists it as uncharacterized. Lineage: Eukaryota; Metazoa; Chordata; Mammalia; Artiodactyla; Bovidae. The record is from RefSeq and is a predicted model, not a curated record. The transcript is spliced from 2 exons.
UCUAGCCUGCCAGGUUCCUCUGUCCAUGGGAUUCUCCAGGCAAGAAUACUCGAGGGGGUUGCCGUUUUCUUCUCCAGGGGAGCUUCCCGAACCAGGAAUUGAACCCAGGUCUCCAAACCAGAGCCUUAUUAUAUAGGUUGUAUCAUGUGAGCGUCAAAGCAGCCCUACAAGUCUGAAACCAAAAUGUAAGCUCCAUAAUGUCAAGGCUUUGUCUUCUUUGUUCCCUGGUAUAACUCUAGCGCUCAGAAGUGUGCCUGGACCUUAGUCAGGUGUUCAUGUAGUAUUUUUUUGGAAUGAACUAACGAAUAAAUGUAUUUCUC